RNAcentral lists this transfer RNA (98 nucleotides) under Musca domestica (house fly). It matches the Rfam family "tRNA". From Rfam's summary of the family: Transfer RNA (tRNA) molecules are approximately 80 nucleotides in length. Their secondary structure includes four short double-helical elements and three loops (D, anti-codon, and T loops). Lineage: Eukaryota; Metazoa; Arthropoda; Insecta; Diptera; Muscidae. The record is from Rfam by way of RNAcentral.
CCUUCGAUAGCUCAGUUGGUAGAGCGGUGGACUGUAGAAUAUGAAAGCAUGUAAAUGUGGAAAUCCAUAGGUCGCUGGUUCAAAUCCGGCUCGAAGGA